Molecule: ribosomal RNA, 427 nt
Filed under: uncultured bacterium
Lineage: Bacteria
Description: bacterial SSU rRNA
Rfam family: Bacterial small subunit ribosomal RNA
Source: RNAcentral
UGGGGAAUAUUGGACAAUGGGGGAAACCCUGAUCCAGCGACGCCGCGUGUGUGAAGAAGGCCUGCGGGUUGUAAAGCACUUUUAGUGGGGACAAAAAGCCAGGGGCUAACACCAUCUGGUCUUGAUUUAACCCACAGAAAAAGCACCGGCUAACUCUGUGCCAGCAGCCGCGGUAAUACAGAGGGUGCAAGCGUUAAUCGGAAUUACUGGGCGUAAAGCGCGCGUAGACGGUUUUGUAAGUCAGAUGUGAAAUCCCCGGGCUCAACCUGGGAACUGCAUUUGAUACUGCGUAGCUAGAGUACGGUAGAGGGAAGUGGAAUUUCCGGUGUAGCGGUGAAAUGCGUAGAUAUCGGAAGGAACACCAGUGGCGAAAGCGACUUCCUGGACCAGUACUGACGUUCAUGUGCGAAAGCGUGGGGAGCAAACA